GACGAACGCUGGCGGCGUGCUUAACACAUGCAAGUCGAGCGAUGAAGCACCUUCGGGUGUGAAUUAGCGGCGAACGGGUGAGGAACACGUGAGAAAUCUGCCUUCAACACUGGGAUAACUCCGGGAAACCGGGGCUAAUACCGGAUAUGAAACCUGCGGGCGUCCGCGGGUUUGGAAAGUUUUUCGGUUGAAGAUGAUCUCGCGGCCUAUCAGCUUGUUGGUGAGGUAAUGGCUCACCAAGGCGACGACGGGUAGCCGGCCUGAGAGGGCGACCGGCCAAACUGGGACUGAGACACGGCCCAGACUCCUACGGGAGGCAGCAGUGGGGAAUAUUGGGCAAUGGAGGAAACUCUGACCCAGCGACGCCGCGUGCGGGAUGAAGGCCUUCGGGUUGUAAAGCUCUUUCGGCCGGGAAGAAAUCGCACAGGCUAAUACUCUGUGUGGAUGACGGUACCGGCAUAAGAAGCACCGGCUAAC
RNAcentral lists this ribosomal RNA (477 nucleotides) under uncultured bacterium. Its description in RNAcentral is "partial 16S ribosomal RNA". It matches the Rfam family "Bacterial small subunit ribosomal RNA", at positions 28 to 501 of the family's 1533-position model. The record is from RNAcentral.